Molecule: ribosomal RNA, 544 nt
Filed under: Raorchestes chotta (smaoo bush frog)
Lineage: Eukaryota; Metazoa; Chordata; Amphibia; Anura; Rhacophoridae
Description: partial 16S ribosomal RNA
Rfam family: Bacterial large subunit ribosomal RNA
Source: RNAcentral
CGCCUCUUGACAAUAAUAAGAGGUCCUGCCUGCCCAGUGAUAAAUUCAACGGCCGCGGUAUCCUGACCGUGCAAAGGUAGCAUAAUCACUUGUUCCUUAAAUAGGGACUAGUAUCAACGGCACCACGAGGGUUGCACUGUCUCCCCCUUCCAAUCAGUGAAACUGAUCUCCCCGUGAAAAAGCGGGGAUAACUAUAUAAGACGAGAAGACCCCAUGGAGCUUUAAACCCAAUAGCAAUUUAGCAAAUACCCCUCUAAGCUACAAACUAUGCUAAAAGUUUUAGGUUGGGGUGACCACGGAGUAAAAAUUAACCUCCGUAACGAAAAGACUUAAUCUUUACCCAAGAGCUACUACUCUAAGAAUUAGAAAACUAACGUACUUUGACCCGAUCAUCGAUCAAUGAACCAAGUUACCCUGGGGAUAACAGCGCAAUCUACUUUGAGAGUCCAUAUCGACAAGUAGGCUUACGACCUCGAUGUUGGAUCAGGGUAUCCCAGUGGUGCAGCCGCUACUAAAGGUUCGUUUGUUCAACGAUUAUAACCCU